AUGCAAUCCCCAGGUAACCCUGCUGUUUCCAGGAGGAGGUACAGUGUAAUGCAUUUUUACAUUUGUUUGGAUGAGUACAGGAGAAAUGUGUGGCUAAUGGACUCAGACAGAAGAAAAGAGCAAUUGAUUUGGAUCAAAGUUGAUCAUAGAGGACCAGGAGCUGGAGAUUCAGCCCUACAGACCUGUGGAGGAAAUGCCCAGCUGCAGUCCAUAGAUGCUGCUGACAGCCCCUGCUCUCAGAGAAGGCAGGAAGCUUAAGACUUUUGGAACAAUGCAAAUAAGCUGGUAUCAACUUCGUUCCUUGCUGCCAAGAUACACGUGGAGAGAACAGAUAACAGUUUGGCUUGUUCCUUGUCUAUGCCUAGGUACUUCACAUUUUUAAGAUUUUUCUUGCAGCUACACCUUGCCUAGGCUGAGCUCUUAAAAAACAAUUUUCCAGUCAGGUUCUGAGAGGUUACAACACACUUCUCAGAAAGCAUGUCUUUGGAUUUGCACAUGGCUUUGAUUCUGCAGGGGGCUUGGAUUUUAUUUUUGAGGCUAACCCAGAGCUGUGCCUUAGGAGUGUCCAGAAAUAAGUGGGCAGUGGAGUUCAGAUCCAGUGAAACUUACCACAAACACAUUAUCUCCAGGAAAUCUCAAGAUCAAAUGCCAAUGUUUUUUGUAUUUUAUUUAUUUAUUAUUUAUUUAUUACUAUUUUCAAGGAUGUGGCUUCUGGAACAGCAAUGGUGAUGUAGGUGCUCAUCUGAGAAGUGAAGAAACUCAUGAUUAAUUCUUGUUUUCAAACCAGGCCCUUGAAAAUGUUGUGAGCUAUAAUAUGAAAGUGUGUCCACCUGGUAUAUUUGCCUGUCUCCAAUGGUUAUUCAAGCCUUAGAUAUUCACUAUCAUAGCAUGAUUCAAAUACCUGAACUCUCAGUCUCAAGUAUGUCUACAACAGAAAACUGAGCUUGCCGUAUCUACUUGUACUGUCUGAUCUGGCUCCUCAGCCAGAACAUUUGUUGUACUAAAAUUCCCUUAAUCUCAUCACUGUAAAUCCCACCCACUCACUUAUUUGCUCUGCUCUGUGAAAUUCAGGCAUGUAAAACACUUGCAAAAUGAGACAUUUGAAAUAGCCUUGCCUGACCUCAAGCUUUGUUUCUAGGCAGUCAACACCUGGGACUCCAAGCUACUGUGUCACUAAAAAAUGCAAGAAAUGUUCUGUCACUGAACUCUUACUCCAUCGGCAGUCCUGGCCGACAGAAAACAGAAAAGCCCUCAUGUCUCACACUUGUACUUCUUAACCUUGUGCACACUUUGUAUCUUUAGAAAAUGCAGUAUCUCAUGAUCCUUUAAAUAACAAAUGACCUUAUUCCUUUUAAUGGGGUCAUUAAGAACUCUAAAGUUCCAGGUAUAAAUUCCUGCUACUACUGUGCACCUUCAUUUGUUAUUCAUAUGUGAAUCCCUUCGGGUUCCCAAUUACUAUCCAGGAACAGCAAUUGGCUGUUGAAAUUAUUCCCACAGGACUGACUUUGUAAAGGACACUGCAGUUUACAUCUUAGUUCCCUAAUUAAGGACACAACGCUCGAUAAACCUUGAACAACUAGUAAUUGGAAGCUAACAGUUAGUCCCAUUGAAUCCCCGUUGACACAGAUUUUGUUGUCUGAUAACUGACCACAAGUGGGUCAUGUGAGAAGGCAGGAGUGAAGAAAGAAUAUUAAGGUCAUAUGCUAGUGAAACUGAAUCAGUGGGAAUUGACUGGAAAAAGUCCCUUGUGUAGACGGUGCCUUAACAUCCACAAUUUGUUGCAGCUCAGUGCACCACAUCUGAAACACCACAGGUACUACCAUUCAGCUCCUGGCUAGAGCAAGAAAUAGCAGGCGAGAUUGGUGGAGGAAGGAGGAUGGGCUUCAAAGAACUUGCUGUCCUCACUCAGAGUGCUGGUCUCUUCCCUGCAAAUGUAACCAAGACAUUAAGUAGCUCAUGUCAAUUUACUUAAAGUCUUGGCCUGAUAGUAUUGCAAGAGCAGAAAGUUUUGCUGGCUUUUUUUUUUUCUUUUCUUUUUUUUUUUUUUUUUCUCCUCUUCAGAAUCAAGCCAUUUAAAGCAACUAAGAGAAUAACCAAGAUUAUUAACCAAGACUAUGUUGACUUUAUUGAUAUUUCUUUUCAGAAAGUGCAAAGCAAAGCAUUUUUAUCAAAAUAAACUUAAUUCUGCACUGUACCUUAUACUGUUC
RNAcentral lists this long non-coding RNA (2207 nucleotides) under Anas platyrhynchos platyrhynchos (common mallard). RNAcentral's name for it is "lncRNA (ENSAPLG00000018104.1)". The record is from RNAcentral. Lineage: Eukaryota; Metazoa; Chordata; Aves; Anseriformes; Anatidae.